GACGAACGCUGGCGGCGUGCUUAACACAUGCAAGUCGAACGGAAAGGCCCUGCUUGCAGGGUACUCGAGUGGCGAACGGGUGAGUAACACGUGGGUGAUCUGCCCUGCACUUCGGGAUAAGCCUGGGAAACUGGGUCUAAUACCGGAUAUGACCUUCCAUGUAGUGUGGGGGGUGGAAAGAUUUGUCGGUGUGGGAUGAGCCCGCGGCCUAUCAGCUUGUCGGUGGGGUAAUGGCCUACCAAGGCGUCGACGGGUAGCCGGCCUGAGAGGGUGGACGGCCACAUUGGGACUGAGAUGCGGCACAGACUCCUACGGGAGGCAGCGGUGGGGAAUAUUACACAGUGGACUGAAGCCUGAUGCAGCGACGCCGCGUGGGGGAUGACGUCCUUCGGGUUGUAUUCCUCUUUCGACAGGGACGAAGCUUCGGUGACGGUACCUGGAGAAGAAGCACCGGCUAACUACGUG
This 465-nucleotide ribosomal RNA is filed under the name uncultured bacterium. RNAcentral describes it as "partial 16S ribosomal RNA". It matches the Rfam family "Bacterial small subunit ribosomal RNA", at positions 28 to 507 of the family's 1533-position model. The record is from RNAcentral.